CUGGAAGGUUGGGAUGGUCCAGCUAAUUCAUCAGCUGUUGCUGUCUGCUGUCUAGCAACACCAGCUGGGGUAUUCACUGUUGAAGGUGUCUGGGAUAUAGCUGAAGUUGAAGGUUGUACUCGUCUGGAAGGUUGGGAUGGUCCAGCUAAUUCAGCAGUCAUUGCUCGCCGCAUUGCAACAUUAGCUCGUGUAUUAGACGACGACCUAUCUACAGAUAGCCAAAUUCCAUCGGUUGAGGAUGCCUGGGCUACAGCUGAAGUUGAAGCCGAUCUUAGAAUAUCACGAUCAUCUUGAAAGAAGGAAUCUCUUGAACUCUGACUUGGUGGAACUACAGAUCCAGGGCUUGAAGGUGGUGAAUCUAUGAUGCUUGAAUUUGGGCUUGAUGGUGAACUAGCUGAUGCAGCGAUAUGACAGCAGAGGAGAUCCUAACUGUCUAUUAUGGACAGUAUAAAGAAUAUGUGGCAGAAUGCAGCCACGAACUGGAAGAGGAGAGAGAAGAGGAGGAAGAAGAAAUAGAAGAAGAUGAAGGGAU
This is a long non-coding RNA of Macrosteles quadrilineatus (aster leafhopper), 532 nucleotides long. RefSeq lists it as uncharacterized. The record is from RefSeq and is a predicted model, not a curated record. The transcript has 4 exons. NCBI's taxonomy places the organism in Eukaryota, Metazoa, Arthropoda, Insecta, Hemiptera, Cicadellidae.